This 1966-nucleotide unclassified non-coding RNA is filed under the name Hevea brasiliensis (rubber tree). The record is from RNAcentral. Lineage: Eukaryota; Viridiplantae; Streptophyta; Magnoliopsida; Malpighiales; Euphorbiaceae.
CAAAUGACAUCAUGAGUUUCAAGUUAUUGCUUCAUGUUAUGAGCAAAGGCUUGUGUUUCACAUGAGAUUCAGCUCUUAACAAACGGCACGCAAAACAAAGGAACUUAUUCAUCAGCAAUAGUCCAAGUCAUAUCGUUCUCAAAGAUCCAGUGGCAAACUUCGAUCUCACCAGGACCUGAACCCAAAGCCAAGAAUGCACCAUGGGUGGAGCUCCAAGCAGAAGUAUCCAAGUGACAGACGGCUACACCGUGAUUGAUUUUGUCCUUGGUAUGUGGAUCCAAGAUAUCCGCUUCGUAGACCCGUACUUUGGGAACAGAGUGACAGUAGUAGAGCAGGUAUGGGUACAAACUCUGGUGGCAAGAGACUGAUUUUGUCACUUUGCCUCCAUUGAUCCCUUUCAUCGUUCCUAUCUCGAUGUCCUGCUUCCACCCAUUUACAUUUUUAGUCGUGCGAACCACCGUAUUGUGGCCUAGGACAGAGGUGGCGAAAUCAAUCAAAUCUUCAGCAGAACCCACACAGCGUUUGGUCUCUCCGCGGCUAGGUGCUCUCUCGCAUUCAUUGAGAGCAUCCAGAAGUAUGGUCUCCAUGCUAGAACUAUCACUGGCAUGGAAUAUUUCCUUGAGCUCGGAGAUUUUGGAAGUAGAGAAUGGCAAUUUUGAGGUGAUGGAUCGAGGAAGAAAUGACCUUUUGGGCAUUUUGUCUCUAAUAUCAGGCAUUGGCAUCACAGUCCCUUUCUGCAACAUUGAUUCCCUGAAGAAUUUGCCUGGCUCUACCCAUUUCUUGACCAGAUUGUCUCUGGCAGCUGGUAAUGCUCGAGUGACGUUGUACUCGGCAAAAGUGACACCCUCUUUAGCAUAUUCCUUGAAAUUUCUUAAUCCGUCUCCCUCUCCAUAUGUACUGAACCCAACGGUACUCUUCCCCUCAGCUCCCUGACCGUAACCGGUGAAGUUGUCUCCGUAGGCAAAAGAUUGCCCAAAAUAACUGGUGAAAUUGAUCUUUUCUGCAUUGGAAUUCUUGGCAUAAGAUUUAAACGCAUCAGUACCGACGCUGGAACGCUCACUGUAACCAGUGAAGCUUUCUAUACCACCUUUUCCUCCAUCCCCAUAACUCUUGAAAGAGCUAGGAACUUGAUUCCCUUCAAACCCAUAAGACUUAAAAGUGUCAUUACCUCCAUUUUCGUUAUUACCAUAAUUUGUGAAAUUAGAUUCAGCCAGAUUCGUACUCUGAUCAUAUUCCACGAACUCGUUCGGGGAUCGAUUCCCAUUCUUCCCAUAACUAAUGAACCAUUCAACGCCCAAGUUCGCAUUCUCUACGUAAGUCGAGAAUCUGUGAGCCCUGCUUUCACCAUCAUUGGCAUACGAAUUGAAUCGGAGAUUUUGGAAAUUUACAUUCUCAUUGUACUUCUUGAAAUCACCUUCGCCCCCGGUAGCGCCGGUGCCGUAGGUGUUGAAGUUGUCAUCAGCAAGGUUUGCACCGUGAGCAUAAUGUGAAAACUCGUCUCUGCGAUCCUGAGAGUUUCGGCUGUACCGGCGAAAGGUAUCGAUUGCGAAAUUGUCGCCUUCUGAGUAGUUCUUAAACGAUUCGAACCCAUCGGCUCUACUCGUGCCGUAACUAGUAAAGUUCUGGUUGCGAUAGAUGGCAAAGUUGGAGUCUUUGUCAUGGACAUGUGUCUGACUGUCAAGAUUGGAUGACAAGUCGGGGAAGCACAAGAGGUUGGCGGAGGAACAGAAGGUGGAGAGGUGGGAAGAGAGGUCAUUUUGAGCGGCGAGUUUGGCAAAAGUAGCUGAGUUAACAGCGUUCAAAGGGGACGCCUUGGAAAGGAUGAAUGGAGAAAUUGGCAACUUCUUGUUUAUCUGCUUGCUCCAAUAUCGCAUCAAAGAUGCUUUUGGAGUGAAUGGGUUCUCCCUGGCUGAUGACUCUUUAGCACUGGCAAAAUUCACAUUGGAGGAUGAAAGAAAGAACAGAG